UGUGUUAAUGAGGAUAGGUUAUCACUGGUUAGCUGUCUAAUCAUUGGGAGUGACUAGUGUGCAGAGCUCGGCAACAUUAUGGAAUACUAAAUGAUAUCAAGUGAUUGUUUCUAGUCUUAAAUUUACUCUCUCCUCCUCCUCCUCCUCCUCCUCCUCCUCCUCCUCUCUGUCUAUCUUCAUCCCUUCCUUCCUUUUAAUGAAUAAGUUAUCUUUUGCUUAAUUAACAUUUAUAAUUCUUUAUGGUGGUCAAAUCUUGCAUCUCAUUUCCCUAUCGUCCAUUCUCUCUCCUCCUCCUCCUCCUCCUCCUCUCUAUAUAUAUAUCUUCAUCCCUUCCUUCCUUUUAAUUAAUGUCUAAGUUAUCCUUUGAGUGACGUUCUUUCUGGCGGUCAAAUCUUGCAUCCUAUUUCCUAUCAUCCAUUCUCUCUCUUCCUCCUCCUCCUCUGUCUAUCUUCAUCCCUUCUUUCCUUUUAAUUAAUGUCUAAGUUAUCUUUUGCUCAAGGUUCUUUCCAGUGUGUUUGUGGUGCCCGGCUCUGCUUGCUAGUUUGUUUUGUCACUGUAUAAUUGUCAAUCCUAGUUUUUGUCAUUGUAUAAUUGUCAAUCCUAGUUUUUGUCAUUGUAUAAUUGUCAAUCCUAGUUUUUGUCACUGUAUAAUUGUGAGUCCUAGUUUGUUUUGUCACUGUAUAAUUGUCAGUCCUAGUUUGUUUUGUCACUGUAUAAUUGUCAGUCCUAGUUUGUUUUGUCACUGUAUAAUUGUCAGUCCAAGUUUGUUUUGUCACUGUAUAAUGGUCGGUCCCAGCCAGGCGCCUCUUCCAUGUAAAGAUAUCGGCAGCUUCAAGCCUUGCCGAUAUCUCAAUCCGUACGUGAAUGUAAAUUAACCGAAAUCCUUGUUACUAAGCCCUGCACGGUGCUCUCUCACAUAAUGCUUCUUUAAAUUUUCAGUCUCACUUAAUUUCCGGGGUUAGUAAUAUAUUUUGCCAUAAGUUAACUCCCCGUGAUGGCCAGUUUCAUGUACUAUAUAUAAGUAAUUUGCCUUUUGCAUGGCUAUAAUUCUGCAUCUGUGUCUAAGGCCCAGUUUCACAGUUCCUCAUGAUGGGUUAGUAAGCUCCGAAACCAAUACCAGAGCCUUUGAAAUUUCCUUGUAUGGUGUCUGGAGUUUAUAUUCAAGUUCACAAAUUUGACGAGACUAUACAGGAAAGGUCUUGUGUGUUUAUGCUACGAAGGAAAGGGAGGAGAAGGGAGAUGAGAUUAGGAGACGAGUGAGCCGAGAUCCUGUUUAUAUUCAAGUUCACAAAUUUGACGAGACUAUACAGGAAAGGUCUUAUAUUGUCAUGAUACGAAGGAAAGGGAGGAGAAGGGAGAUGAGAUUGGGAGACGAGUGAGCCGAGAUCCUGUUUAUAUUCAAGUUCACAAGUUUGAUGAGACUAUACAGGAAAGUUCUUGUGUGUUUAUGGUACGUAGGAAAGGGAGGGGAAGGGAGAUGAGAUUGAGAGACGAGUGAGCCGAGAUCCUGUUUAUAUUCAAGUUCACAAGUUUGAUGAGACUAUACAGGAAAGUUCUUGUGUGUUUAUGGUACGUAGGAAAGGGAGGGGAAGGGAGAUGAGAUUGAGAGACGAGUGAGCUGAGAUGGUGUUUAUAUUCAAGUUUACAAAUUUGACAACACAAUACAGGAAAAGCUCUUUGUAUUUAGUGUGUCAUCGAAGACCGCGCCAUUUUGAACAGUAUGGGAUUCUAUAGCUUGGUUCGGGAGUGUUACAAAGACCAUGAUGGACUGUGGAAGCGGCCCUUAAUGUUCCCUUUUCUAAUAUGCCUCUCUGUUUUUCCAGGAUGCCGCGGACGGACCAUGCAGAGGACUCAUCGCGACGACACCAACGGUUUGGUUAAGUGGGUUCUCUUGUGUGUGCGUCUGUGUGUGAAUGGCAGGCCUGUCGUAUGAUUGUGUGUGUGUGUGCGUUGGCGGUAUGCCUUCGCACUAUUAUUUUGUUAGGAUGUAUUUUUUUGUGUGUGAACUUUUUGCACGUAAUCUUUUUUUAUACCCAUAGCUAGCGUUUGUUUGUGUGGCAGUGUUCCGGGAGAUGGACGCCGGGGGACAUGGGUUUGGGGAGGCGCACAUGACCUCCUCUGUCCGUGACCUCUUCAGCUGGGGAGACCGUGUGUUGCCCCGCCUGGAGAGACACGUUGAUGGAGGUGGCCGUGUGUGUCACCCUUUGCCUGUAUCCUCUGGCGCCCAGAGGCGCGUAAGCGGAGAGCAUCGGCGCAGCGCGGGAGCAGCACGUCAGGGUGUAGGGUGUUUGUUUAGCUGGUGUAGGGUGUUAGGGUGUUAGGGUGUUAGGUGUAACAACGGUUGGCUCUUUCACAGAACGGGUGUGAUUCCGUUCUGCGUUUGAGUCUUCCACCUUCAGACGGUCUCCCUCCGAGAUGUCUGAAGUUUUUUUUGUCGGUUUUCUCCGUAGGAGGAAGCCGACUCUAGCUACUCUGGCCUCUCUUCCGGGGGUCAGAGCGGUCGGGCUCUGCUUGGCCAGGCGUUAGUCUUUCGCGUUGUCUCCGCCGACGUUUUGCCAGACUCUUCCGUAAGGUUGAGCCUGGCUUUUUUAUUAGGUGGAUCAGGCUGCCUUCUUCCAAGGAGUCUGAUGGGAGUGGAGUCUUUUUUUUGGUGUAUGUCUGUGGGUACUUAGUG
Long non-coding RNA from Eriocheir sinensis (Chinese mitten crab), 2674 nucleotides. RefSeq lists it as uncharacterized. NCBI's taxonomy places the organism in Eukaryota, Metazoa, Arthropoda, Malacostraca, Decapoda, Varunidae. The record is from RefSeq and is a predicted model, not a curated record. The transcript is spliced from 3 exons.